RNAcentral lists this ribosomal RNA (541 nucleotides) under uncultured Verrucomicrobiota bacterium. Its description in RNAcentral is "bacterial SSU rRNA". It matches the Rfam family "Bacterial small subunit ribosomal RNA", at positions 8 to 522 of the family's 1533-position model. Lineage: Bacteria; Pseudomonadati; Verrucomicrobiota. The record is from RNAcentral.
AGAGUUUGAUCCUGGCUCAGAACGAACGCUGGCGGCGUGGAUAAGACAUGCAAGUCGAACGCUGAUUGACGGGUAGCAAUAUUCGUCAGUCGGAGUGGCGCAAGGGUGCGUAACACGUGGGUAAUUUGCCAUGAAGCCCGGAAUAACUCGCUGAAAGGCGAGCUAAUACCGGAUGUGACGUUUGGGAGGCAUCUCCUGAACUUUAAAGCUGGGGACCGUAAGGCCUGGCACUUCUUGAUAAGCCCGCGGCCUAUCAGCUAGUUGGUGAGGUAACGGCUCACCAAGGCUAAGACGGGUAGCUGGUCUGAGAGGACGACCAGCCUCACUGGAACUGAGAUACGGUCCAGACACCUACGGGUGGCAGCAGUCGAGAAUUUUUCACAAUGGGCGAAAGCCUGAUGGAGCGACGCCGCGUGGGGGAUGAAUGGCUUCGGCCCGUAAACCCCUGUCAUUUGCGAACAAACCUUGUCAUUUAACAGACGACAAGCUGAUUGUAGCGGAAGAGGAAGGGACGGCUAACUCUGUGCCAGCAGCCGCGGUA